UUUACUUGCCCUAACCUUCCCUUUCGCAUCGUCGUUCCUUUCAUCUUCCCUCCGUUCCUUUUCUCUUCGCAAUCACAGCAAAUAAGGAGGAGCUCUUCUUCCCUAUGGAGGAGUGCUUCUUCCCUCUCCACAGCGAGAAAUGAGGCUCUUCGUUCCUCUCCACAGCAAGCAAAGAGGAGCUCUUUUUCCCUCUCCGCAACAAGAAAGGAGGAGCUCUUCUUCCCUCUGCGCAGCAAGCAAGGAGAGGCUCUUCUUUCCCUCUCCGCAACAAGUAAGGAGGCUCAUCUUCCCUCUUCGUAGCAAGCAAGGAGAAGUUCUUCUUCCCUCUCUACAAUACAAAAACGGUUACCUAAAGUAAACAAGCUUCUAGAAACUCAUCUUCACUAAGGAGGAGGAGGAGGAGGAGGAGAAAUGGCUGACACAGAUGAUAUUAGGGCAAAAAAAGUCAAAGAAUAAUAAGGGACUAAACACUGAGAUCCUGAGAAAUAUACAUUUUGUAGCAACGCUUGAGGAUAAGAACAAAAAAAAAAAAGGAGUGUUCACCUGAAGUUAUUGCAGAAGGUCAAAUUACAUUCAUAGAUCAAAAAGUAAAAGUGCAUCACGUUCUUCUUGGUGGAUCUUAUUGGAAAGUUUGAGUUGAUAGAGUUUUUAUGGAGAAGGUGGACCUAAUUCUUCCAAAUAAUGAAAUGCUUUUUCUCGAGGAUGUAAUAGGAAGCACAGCUGCUUAGUUAUUUAAGUUUAUAGUUUUGUAUGAUUGAUAUAUAUUUUCCUUAUUUUAAAGUCAUAUACUCUUUUGUAGGAAAGAAACUAUGUUACUAAGUGAAUUUUUUUUACUAGUUUGGAUUGUUUUAAUUAA
Molecule: long non-coding RNA, 856 nt
Organism: Zingiber officinale
Lineage: Eukaryota; Viridiplantae; Streptophyta; Magnoliopsida; Zingiberales; Zingiberaceae
Exons: 3
Source: RefSeq, a predicted model, not a curated record